This 584-nucleotide ribosomal RNA is filed under the name uncultured bacterium. RNAcentral's name for it is "bacterial SSU rRNA". It matches the Rfam family "Bacterial small subunit ribosomal RNA", at positions 202 to 806 of the family's 1533-position model. The record is from RNAcentral.
AAAAACCCAGGUGGUGUGAGAUGGAUCCGCGUCUGAUUAGCCAGUUGGCGGGGUAACGGCCCACCAAAGCGACGAUCAGUAGCCGACCUGAGAGGGUGACCGGCCACAUUGGGACUGAGACACGGCCCAAACUCCUACGGGAGGCAGCAGUGGGGAAUAUUGCACAAUGGGCGCAAGCCUGAUGCAGCGACGCCGCGUGAGUGAAGAAGUAUCUCGGUAUGUAAAGCUCUAUCAGCAGGGAAGAAAAUGACGGUACCUGACUAAGAAGCCCCGGCUAACUACGUGCCAGCAGCCGCGGUAAUACGUAGGGGGCAAGCGUUAUCCGGAUUUACUGGGUGUAAAGGGAGCGUAGACGGCGACGCAAGUCUGGAGUGAAAGCCCGGGGCCCAACCCCGGGACUGCUUUGGAAACUGCGCUGCUGGAGUGCAGGAGAGGUAAGUGGAAUUCCUAGUGUAGCGGUGAAAUGCGUAGAUAUUAGGAGGAACACCAGUGGCGAAGGCGGCUUACUGGACUGUAACUGACGUUGAGGCUCGAAAGCGUGGGGAGCAAACAGGAUUAGAUACCCUGGUAGUCCACGCCGUAAA